AAAUCUUGACUUUUAUCUUAUUAUGCAUGAUGAUGAUUAUGCAAUGAUACAAUGAAUGAAUUACUAUGAUUAAAAUGGAUUAGAAUGCAUUAUGUUGCUUUGUCUUUUAUGCAAGUUAGAAACUUGAUGGAAAAUCCACAUGAAUGCACAUGUCCAUGACCAUUCUUAUUAAAAGAAAUAAUCAUUUAUUUUGUAAUAAAACGCAUGUAAUUAAAAUGUAGAAACAAAAUAUGCUAUUUAAAAUAAACAUGAAUAAAUCAAAAUAUGAAAAAUAAAAAUGAAAAAAAUAUUUAAAAUGAUCAGAUGAAUUAAAAAAUCAAGGGACAAAAUUGGUGUGUGACAACUACAACAUUCC
This 355-nucleotide long non-coding RNA is filed under the name Lathyrus oleraceus (garden pea). RNAcentral's name for it is "Pisum sativum (pea) long non-coding RNA (PSAT_LNC018404)". The record is from RNAcentral. Lineage: Eukaryota; Viridiplantae; Streptophyta; Magnoliopsida; Fabales; Fabaceae.